UAUCUGCAGUCGAGGGGCAGCGCAGUGUAGCAAUACAUGGGCGGCGACCGGCAAACGGGUGCGGAACACGUACGCAACCUUCCCAAAACUGGUGAAUAGCCUUUCGAAAGAGAGAUUAAUACACCGUAACUUAAUGAAGUGGCAUCACUUUAUUAAUAUAGCUCCGGCGGUUUUGGAUGGGCGUGCGGCUGAUUAGGUAGUUGGCGGGGUAACAGCCCACCAAGCCUACGAUCAGUAACUGGUGUGAGAGCACGACCAGUCACACGGGCACUGAGACACGGGCCCGACUCCUACGGGAGGCAGCAGUAAGGAAUAUUGGUCAAUGGACGCAAGUCUGAACCAGCCAUGCCGCGUGGAGGAUGAAGGUCCUCUGGAUUGUAAACUUCUUUUAUCGGAGAAGAAACCCUAGAAUUCUUUCUGGGUUGACGGUACCCGAUGAAUAAGCACCGGCUAACUCCGUGCCAGCAGCCGCGGUAAUACGGAGGGUGCAAGCGUUAUCCGGAUUCACUGGGUUUAAAGGGAGCGUAGGUGGGAUGGUAAGUCAGUGGUGAAAUCUCCGGGCUUAACUCGGAAACUGCCGUUGAUACUAUCGUUCUUGAAUAUUGUGGAGGUAAGCGGAAUAUGUCAUGUAGCGGUGAAAUGCUUAGAUAUGACAUAGAACACCGAUAGCGAAGGCAGCUUGCUACACAAUUAUUGACACUGAGGCUCGAAAGCGUGGGGAUCAAACAGGAUUAGAUACCCUGGUAGUCCACGCCCUAAACGAUGGAUACUCGACAUACGCGAUACACAGUGUGUGUCUGAGCGAAAGCAUUAAGUAUCCCACCUGGGGAAGUACGACCGCAAGGUUGAA
RNAcentral lists this ribosomal RNA (850 nucleotides) under uncultured bacterium. Its description in RNAcentral is "bacterial SSU rRNA". It matches the Rfam family "Bacterial small subunit ribosomal RNA", at positions 52 to 898 of the family's 1533-position model. The record is from RNAcentral.